RNAcentral lists this ribosomal RNA (488 nucleotides) under uncultured bacterium. Its description in RNAcentral is "partial 16S ribosomal RNA". It matches the Rfam family "Bacterial small subunit ribosomal RNA", at positions 30 to 506 of the family's 1533-position model. The record is from RNAcentral.
AUUGAACGCUGGCGGCAUGCUUUACACAUGCAAGUCGGACGGCAGCACAGAGGCGCUUGCUUCUUGGGUGGCGAGUGGCGAACGGGUGAGUAACGCAUCGGAACGUACCGAGUAAUGGGGGAUAACUGUCCGAAAGGACAGCUAAUACCGCAUACGCCCUGAGGGGGAAAGCGGGGGAUCUUAGGACCUCGCGUUAUUCGAGCGGCCGAUGUCUGAUUAGCUGGUUGGCGGGGUAAAGGCCCACCAAGGCGACGAUCAGUAGCGGGUCUGAGAGGAUGAUCCGCCACACUGGGACUGAGACACGGCCCAGACUCCUACGGGAGGCAGCAGUGGGGAAUUUUGGACAAUGGGCGCAAGCCUGAUCCAGCCAUGCCGCGUGUCUGAAGAAGGCCUUCGGGGUGUAAAGGACUUUUGUCAGGGAAGAAGGGGGCAUGUUAAUACCGUGCUCUGAUGACGGUACCUGAAGAAUAAGCACCGGCUAACUACGU